GAAGAUAGGUUAUCCGUGUUGCCUUCGCUUGAUUUGUGACGAAUCAUACACGGUUGACCUACUUUU
Jaculus jaculus (lesser Egyptian jerboa) is the source of this 66-nucleotide microRNA precursor. The record is from Ensembl. NCBI's taxonomy places the organism in Eukaryota, Metazoa, Chordata, Mammalia, Rodentia, Dipodidae.